GACGAACGCUGGCGGCGUGCUUAACACAUGCAAGUCGAACGGUGAAGCGCCUGCCUUUUUGGUGGGUGUGGAUGAGUGGCGAACGGGUGAGUAACACGUGAGUAACCUGCCCCCUUCUUCUGGAUAACCGCAUGAAAGUGUGGCUAAUACGGGAUAUUCUGGGUCUGUCGCAUGAUGGGUCUGGGAAAGAUAUUGUUUCGGUGGGGGAUGGGCUCGCGGCCUAUCAGCUUGUUGGGGGGGUGAUGGCCUACCAAGGCGGUGACGGGUAGCCGGCCUGAGAGGGUGGACGGCCACACUGGUACUGAGACACGGCCCAGACUACUACGGGAGGCAGCAGUGGGGAAUAUUGCACAAUGGGCGCAAGCCUGAUGCAGCGACGCCGCGUGAGGGAUGGAGGCCUUCGGGUUGUGAACCUCUUUCGCCAGUGAAGCAGGCCUGCCUCGUUUGUGGGUGGGUUGACGGUAGCUGGAGAAGAAGCGCCGGCUAACUACGUG
This 494-nucleotide ribosomal RNA is filed under the name uncultured bacterium. Its description in RNAcentral is "partial 16S ribosomal RNA". It matches the Rfam family "Bacterial small subunit ribosomal RNA", at positions 28 to 507 of the family's 1533-position model. The record is from RNAcentral.